This 440-nucleotide ribosomal RNA is filed under the name uncultured bacterium. Its description in RNAcentral is "partial 16S ribosomal RNA". It matches the Rfam family "Bacterial small subunit ribosomal RNA", at positions 338 to 795 of the family's 1533-position model. The record is from RNAcentral.
CCUACGGGGGGCUGCAGUGGGGAAUAUUGCACAAUGGGGGAAACCCUGAUGCAGCGACGCCGCGUGAGUGAAGAAGUAUUUCGGUAUGUAAAGCUCUAUCAGCAGGGAAGAAAAUGACGGUACCUGAUUAAGAAGCCCCGGCUAACUACGUGCCAGCAGCCGCGGGAAUACGUAGGGGGCAAGCGUUAUCCGGAUUUACUGGGUGUAAAGGGAGCGUAGACGGCAGCACAAGUCUGGAGUGAAAUGCCGGGGCUUAACCCCGGAACUGCUGUGGAAACUGUGCAGCUAGAGUGCAGGAGAGGUAAGUGGAAUUCGUGGUGUAGCGGUGAAAUGCGUAGAUAUUAGGAAGAACACCGGUGGCGAAGGCAGCUUACUGGACUGUAACUGACGUUGAGGCUCGAAAGCGUGGGGAGCAAACAGGAUUAGAUACCCGUGUAGUC